CCAAACAUAGUUAUUAAAUAAUAUCUCUUUGUUAAUGAGAAGGUUAAGUUUUGGU
This 55-nucleotide transfer RNA is filed under the name Rhizoglyphus robini. RNAcentral describes it as "tRNA-Asn". RNAcentral also lists the same sequence under 1 other name. Lineage: Eukaryota; Metazoa; Arthropoda; Arachnida; Sarcoptiformes; Acaridae. The record is from RNAcentral.